AGAGGAAGGAGAGAUCAUGGCGGACGGGAGGCAAGACUAGCCUGCAGCUCUGGACAGAGCAGCGAGUGGGAGCUCGCAUUGUAAACUUUAGCUCCAGAUGGACGGCAAAAACAAACCAGCAAUCCCCAGAGGACCCACAGACCCUCUGAAGGAAGUGGGCUGCUCCUGCAGGACCCGGGAGACCCCCAAAACUGUGAGUGUCCAGCUGCCGAAGUGGGAAAGGGAAACCCUCCUCUCCGGAACAGACACCCCCUGAGAAGUCUAUUUGUGGGAGAAGUUUCCGACUUUACCUGGAGCUGAGUCAGUCUGGAGAGCUGACUGAAAUACAGGGAUAGAGGAGGCAGCAGCAAGGCCCUGGGAGCUGAAUGGGUCCCCGGGCAGCCCAUUCCUGCCUGGCACCACAGGGAUCCAACGGGAGAGGAACAGAGGGUAAAACUACACGGAGAGAAGGAAAUCUCUAGCUGAACUUUGUAACAAUUCGAACAGCGUGAGAAGUCUCCUGGCCAGAACUCGGGGGAGGACACAAAUCUCCUGCACAGUUAAUAUCCAGAGUCACACGUGGAGAGGAAGCAUCACAAUGAGACCAUACAACCAUAUAAUCUGUUCAAGUCCUAGAAGGUGUUGGCAGAGCUGCAGGACUGACCUAGGUCAAUGGCUGUGGGGUAAGGAGAGAGGUUUUGUGAUUGUUUUUAAAAAUCCCAGUGGGUAUAGCAGGCGCAUCCCUGUCUUCCUCAAUCGUGGAAGCUAGGGAUUUUAAUCAGCUUUGGGAUAGAUUGCCCUUUGCUAUAGUCACAUGUCCUCUGCAGUGCUGUGAACACCUCCUAUGUGAGGCAAUGCAUGACCAGCAAGGUUGGGAAUCCAGUGAUAAGCCUCAGAGUAAAUGCUUCCUAUCAAAUGUGAUAAAGUGAUCUUGUAAACUGAACAAUUCCUAUAGAAAAAUGUAUGUCACUCAAGACUUAUGGGGUUUCUUCAAGGAGAUAAUCUCGUUUAAGUUUGAACUCAGGCUAUUAUGUGCCAGUCUGUAAUAGUUUUGGGAAAACUGUAUUUAUUUUUGUUUGAAUAUUGGAUCCCACUGGAGAUUAGAAACAGAGAUGACAAACACUGUAAGAGAUACAUAGGUAUAUAGAUAGAUCGAUCUGAUCUCCUCUACUCAGGUCAUAGAAAAAACUGUAUUUAUUUUUGUUGGAGUAUUUGAUCCCACUGGAGAUUAGAAACAGAGGUGACAAACACUGUAAGAUAGAUAGAUAUCUGAUGUCUUUCCCCCAGGUCAUAGAAAAAAAAACCCAAAAGAUCUUAAAGUAGUUUAAUGCAGGCCACCCUAGACUACUCUUGCAGUAGAAUCACAUGGAACUAAAUCACUCAACCCCAGGAAGUGCUCCAUUGUUUAGGACUGAGGUCUGAUGUCUUUGGGAGGUCAAAGGGUGUAUAUUGGUGUCACCAUGUGUGGGGUAGCUUGGGGGUGGCCCUGAAGGAAAUUGUUUGUAUUGUCACUUUCUGAGGGAGGCCAAUCCUGAGGCAAGAAAAAAAAGGAAUUGAGAGUGGGAGUUAUAUAGAGAUAUGGAAAAACCUUUCCCCUUAUUCAGAAGCCUUAUGGUAUUUUAUUCUAGAAUCUGCCAAUUAGAGAACCUCAACCUAUGGCUAAUAAUGGGCAUCUGCUUGGCCUUAGCCAGGGUACUAGGCUUGGAGCCAGGCUCGCAUGUGGCUGAAAAAAGACUCAGAGGAUGCCUUGAGCAUUAGCCCUGAGUUCAGCCUUUUACAGUUUCCAGUCUAAGGUUCAAGUCUCUAAUAUGUUUUGGUUGAUUUUUUAUGUGAUGUGAGGUAAGGGUCCAAUUUCAUUCUUCUGCAUGUGGCUAUCCAGUUUCCCCAGCAGCAUUUACUGGAGAGACUAUUCUUUCCACAUUGUGUUUUAUUAAUGCCCUUGUUUAAAAUUAGUUGAUAAUAGAUGCAUGGGUUUAUUUCUGGGCUAUUUUGUUUCAUUGGACUGUGUAUCUGUUUUAUGCCCAUAUCAUGCUGUUUUGAUUACUACAGCUUUGCAAUGUAAUUUGAAACCAGGGAAUGUAAUUCUUUCAGCUUUGUUCGUCUUGUGCAAGAUUGCUUUAGGUAUUCGGGAUAUUCUGUGAGUCCAUAUGAAUUUAAGGAUUUUUUUUUCUAUUUCUGUAAAAAAUGCCAUUGGAGUUUUGAAAUGGAUUGCACUGAAUCUGUAGAUCACAUUCGGUAGUAUGAAUAUUUUGACAAUAUUUAUUCUUCUGGUUUUUUAACAUUGUUCUGGUUUUCAUUUUUUGUCUAUUUUAAUUCUUUACAUCAGUAUUUUAUAGAUUUCAAUGUACAGAUCUUUCACAUCUGUGGAUAAAUUUAUUCCUAAGUAAAUUUUUACUACCAUAAAUGAAUUUUUUCUUAAUUUCUACAUUAAGAAAAAAGAAAGAUCUCAAAUAAUCCAAUUUGACAACUCUUGGAACUAGAAAAUGAAGAACAAAGUAAGCCCAAAGUUGGUAGAAGGAAAGAAAUAAUAAAGAUUGGAGCAAAAACAGAUUGAGAAGAAAGGCAAUAGAAAAGAUCAAUGAAGCUGAGAGUGUUUUUUGUUAAAAGAUAAACAAAACUGACAAAUCUUUAGCUAGACUAGCUAAGACAGAGAAAAGACUCAAAUAAAAUUACAAAUUAAUGUGGAGUCAUUCCAACUGACACCACAGAAAUACAAGGGUUCAUUCAAGACUGCUAUGAGCAAUUAUACACCAAUGAUUGGAAAACCUAGAAGAAACUGAUAAAUUCCUAGAAACAUACAAUCUUCGAGACCAAAUUAUCAAGAAAUAAAAAAAACCUGAACAACCAAUAACGAGAAUAUUGAAUUAGUAAUAAUUUUUAAACCCUUUCAACAAAGAAAAGUUUACGAUGAGAUUGUUUCAUGGUGAAUUCUACCAAUUAAUGCCGAUUAUCCUCAAACUCUUCCAAAAACUGACGAAAAGGAAGUACAUUCAAACUCAUUUUCGAGGCCACAUUACCCUGAUGUAAAAGCCAGACAAGGACACUGACACUAUCAGAAAAGAAAACUACAGACCAAUAUUCUUGAUGAACAUAGAUGGAAAACUCUUCCACAAAAUACUAGCAAAUGAUUUUCAACAGCAUAUUAAAAGUAUCAUUGACCAUGAUCAAGUAUUACGUUGAUGAAAUUAUUUUUGCACCAACCUAACAGAAUUUAUUCCAGGGAUGCAAAAAUUAUUACUUUAUUAUUGAUAUAAUUCCACACACUGUUUUUAUGUUUGUACAAAGAGGAAUCUUGAUAGCAAGAAAAUAGUAUGUGUGUUAGAACU
Molecule: long non-coding RNA, 3305 nt
Filed under: Homo sapiens (human)
Lineage: Eukaryota; Metazoa; Chordata; Mammalia; Primates; Hominidae
Description: novel transcript
Source: RNAcentral